This is a long non-coding RNA of Piliocolobus tephrosceles (Ugandan red Colobus), 295 nucleotides long. RefSeq lists it as uncharacterized. NCBI's taxonomy places the organism in Eukaryota, Metazoa, Chordata, Mammalia, Primates, Cercopithecidae. The transcript is spliced from 3 exons. The record is from RefSeq and is a predicted model, not a curated record.
GGCCCAGAAUGUGAUCUGUCCAAGUGAGCUGGAGAAGAACGUGUACUCUGCAUGGUUAGAUGAAGUACUCUAUAGAUGUCCAUUUUAUCCAGAGCCUGACAACCUCAGGAGAUGGGGCUAGAAUUCUCCCCUAUUUUACGAAUGAGGAAACUACGAUUAAAAGAAAGGAAGAUAUUUGCUCAAAGUCACACACCAGCCCGGGAAAGAGGAGUGCAAGACCGAGCAUGUUCUGAGGGGAACACCAGGCAGCAAGUGCUGGGCUACAUGUUGUACAGAUAUUCUCAUCAUCUCACUG